Molecule: ribosomal RNA, 216 nt
Filed under: Campeiostachys nutans
Lineage: Eukaryota; Viridiplantae; Streptophyta; Magnoliopsida; Poales; Poaceae
Description: Elymus nutans partial small subunit ribosomal RNA
Rfam family: Eukaryotic small subunit ribosomal RNA (bases 47-216)
Source: RNAcentral
GGACCAUCAUGUCGGUCGUGCCUUUGGUACGUACUGGUAUUAUUGGUUUCUCCUUUCUGAAGAACUACGAUGUCAUUAAUUUGGUGUUGUGGGGAAUCAGGACUGUUACUUUGAAAAAAUUAGAGUGUUUAAAGCAGGCUCACGCUUGAAUACAUUAGCAUGGAAUAAUGAAAUAGGACGUUUGAUUCUAUUUUGUUGGUUUCUAGGAUCGACGUA